GCGGGUAUAGCUCAGUUGGUUAGAGCGCUUGGUUGUGGUCCAAGAGGUCGUCGGUUCAAAUCCGACUACUCGCCCCA
RNAcentral lists this transfer RNA (77 nucleotides) under Roseospira marina. Its description in RNAcentral is "tRNA-His". It matches the Rfam family "tRNA". From Rfam's summary of the family: Transfer RNA (tRNA) molecules are approximately 80 nucleotides in length. RNAcentral also lists the same sequence under 1 other name. The record is from RNAcentral. Lineage: Bacteria; Pseudomonadati; Pseudomonadota; Alphaproteobacteria; Rhodospirillales; Rhodospirillaceae.